GAUGAAGAACGUAGCGAAAUGCAAUACUUGGUGUGAAUUGCAGAAUCCCGUGAACCAUCGAGUUUUUGAACGCAAGUUGCGCCCGAAGCCGUUAGGCCGAGGGCACGCCUGCCUGGGUGUCACACAUCGUUGCCCCAAUGCCAAUCGCCUCACUUUGUAGGUAUUUGCUUGGGGUGAAUGUUGGCCUCCCGUGAGCUUUGUCUCACGGUUGGUUGAAAAUCGAGUGCAUGGUGUCGGGUGUACCAUGAUGGAUGGUGGUUGAGUGAUGAUGCUCGGUGACCCACAUGCGUCCCUUGGAUGCUCCCUAAGGAGACCUCAGGUCAGGCGGGGCUACCCACUGAGUUUAAGCAUAUCAAUAAGCGGAGGA
Molecule: unclassified non-coding RNA, 367 nt
Filed under: soil metagenome
Description: partial contains 5.8S ribosomal RNA, internal transcribed spacer 2, and large subunit ribosomal RNA
Rfam family: 5.8S ribosomal RNA (bases 1-122)
Source: RNAcentral